This 497-nucleotide ribosomal RNA is filed under the name uncultured bacterium. RNAcentral describes it as "partial 16S ribosomal RNA". It matches the Rfam family "Bacterial small subunit ribosomal RNA", at positions 28 to 507 of the family's 1533-position model. The record is from RNAcentral.
GAUGAACGCUGGCGGCGUGCCUAAUACAUGCAAGUCGAGCGAACAGACGAGGAGCUUGCUCCUCUGACGUUAGCGGCGGACGGGUGAGUAACACGUGGAUCACCUCCCUAUAAGACUGGGAUAACUUCGGGAAACCGGAGCUAAUACCGGAUAAUAUAUUGAACCGCAUGGUUCAAUAGUGAAAGACGGUUUUGCUGUCACUUCUAGAUGGAUCCGCGCUGCAUUAGCUAGUUGGUAAGGUAACGGCUUACCAAGGCAACGAUGCGUAGCCGACCUGAGAGGGUGAUCGGCCACACUGGAACUGAGACACGGUCCAGACUCCUACGGGAGGCAGCAGUAGGGAAUCUUCCGCAGUGGGCGAAAACCUGACGGAGCAACGCGGCGUGAAUGAUGAAGGUCUUCGGAGCGUAAAACUCGGUUAUGAGGGAAGAACAAAUGUGUAAGUAACUGAGCACGUCGUGACGGUACCUAAUCAGAAAGCAACGGCUAACUACGUG